This 203-nucleotide long non-coding RNA is filed under the name Lathyrus oleraceus (garden pea). Its description in RNAcentral is "Pisum sativum (pea) long non-coding RNA (PSAT_LNC006146)". Lineage: Eukaryota; Viridiplantae; Streptophyta; Magnoliopsida; Fabales; Fabaceae. The record is from RNAcentral.
UGAUUUUAUGUUUAAUCCUUUUAUUUUGUUUAAUUCAUAUUAAUUUCAUAUUUAACCCAAAAAAUAUGGGAAUUUCACCAAAAAUCUUUAAAUAUUUUUCUCUUCCAUAUUCUGAAUUACAAUAUUUUUUGGAUUAAUUUUGAUAUUUUUCAUGAAUUAAAUGUUUUUGUGCAUAUUUUUAAUUGUUUAAAAAUACUUCUGAC